AUGAACGCUGGCGGCGUGCCUAAUACAUGCAGGUCGAGCGCACAGACGAGGAGCUUGCUCCUCUGACGUUAGCGGCGGACGGGUGAGUAACACGUGGAUAACCUACCUAUAAGACUGGGAUAACUUCGGGAAACCGGAGCUAAUACCGGAUAAUAUAUUGAACCGCAUGGUUCAAUAGUGAAAGACGGUUUUGCUGUCACUUAUAGAUGGAUCCGCGCCGCAUUAGCUAGUUGGUAAGGUAACGGCUUACCAAGGCAACGAUGCGUAGCCGACCUGAGAGGGUGAUCGGCCACACUGGAACUGAGACACGGUCCAGACUCCUACGGGAGGCAGCAGUAGGGAAUCUUCCGCAAUGGGCGAAAGCCUGACGGAGCAACGCCGCGUGAGUGAUGAAGGUCUUCGGAUCGUAAAACUCUGUUAUUAGGGAAGAACAAAUGUGUAAGUAACUAUGCACGUCUUGACGGUACCUAAUCAGAAAGCCACGGCUAACUACGUG
RNAcentral lists this ribosomal RNA (496 nucleotides) under uncultured bacterium. Its description in RNAcentral is "partial 16S ribosomal RNA". It matches the Rfam family "Bacterial small subunit ribosomal RNA", at positions 29 to 507 of the family's 1533-position model. The record is from RNAcentral.